AUUACGGUGGUCCAGAGGUAAUGACGUCCCUGUUCCCAUUCCUAGAAACUUAGGAAAUCAUGGGUUCGAGUCCCAGCUGUAGCA
Non-coding RNA from Mollisia scopiformis, 84 nucleotides. NCBI's taxonomy places the organism in Eukaryota, Fungi, Ascomycota, Leotiomycetes, Helotiales, Mollisiaceae. The record is from the annotation of a RefSeq genome assembly.